UACGUAUGGUGCAAGCGUUAUCCGGAUUUACUGGGCGUAAAGGGAGCGCAGGCGGCGCGCCAAGUCUGAUGUGAAACCCCGGGGCUCAACCCCGGGCAUGCAUUGGAAACUGGCGGGCUGGAGUGCCGGAGAGGUAAGCGGAAUCCCUAGUGUAGCGGUGAAAUGCGUAGAUAUUAGGAGGAACACCAGUGGCGAAGGCGGCUUACUGGACGGCAACUGACGCUGAGGCUCGAAAGCGUGGGGAGCAAACAGG
Molecule: ribosomal RNA, 253 nt
Filed under: uncultured bacterium
Lineage: Bacteria
Description: partial 16S ribosomal RNA
Rfam family: Bacterial small subunit ribosomal RNA
Source: RNAcentral